GACGAACGCUGGCGGCGUGCUUAACACAUGCAAGUCGAACGGAAAGGCCCUGCUUUUGUGGGGUGCUCGAGUGGCGAACGGGUGAGUAACACGUGAGUAACCUGCCCUUGACUUUGGGAUAACUUCAGGAAACUGGGGCUAAUACCGGAUAGGAGCUCCUGCUGCAUGGUGGGGGUUGGAAAGUUUCGGCGGUUGGGGAUGGACUCGCGGCUUAUCAGCUUGUUGGUGGGGUAGUGGCUUACCAAGGCUUUGACGGGUAGCCGGCCUGAGAGGGGUACCGGCGACAUUGCGACUGCGGGACGGCCCAGAAUCCUACGGGAGGCAGCAGUGGGGAGUAUGGCACAAUGGGGGGAAGCGUGAUGCAGAAGCGCCGCGAGCGGGAUAACGGCCUUCGGGUGAUAAACAGAUUUCGCCUGUGACGAAGCGUGCGUGACGGUAAUGAGUAAAGAAGCAACGGCUAACUACGUG
This 468-nucleotide ribosomal RNA is filed under the name uncultured bacterium. RNAcentral describes it as "partial 16S ribosomal RNA". It matches the Rfam family "Bacterial small subunit ribosomal RNA", at positions 28 to 507 of the family's 1533-position model. The record is from RNAcentral.